This 429-nucleotide ribosomal RNA is filed under the name uncultured archaeon. Its description in RNAcentral is "bacterial SSU rRNA". It matches the Rfam family "Archaeal small subunit ribosomal RNA", at positions 474 to 903 of the family's 1478-position model. The record is from RNAcentral.
UACCAGCUCUCCGAGUGGUAGGGAUGAUUAUUGGGCUUAAAGCGUCCGUAGCCGGCUUAGCAAGUUUCCUGUUAAACCCAGCGACUCAAUCGUUGGAUCGCGGGAGAUACUACUAGGCUAGGAGGCGGGAGAGGUCAACGGUACUUCUGGGGUAGGGGUGAAAUCCUAUAAUCCCGGGAGGACCACCAGUGGCGAAGGCUGUUGACUAGAAUGCGCUCGACGGUGAGGGACGAAAGCUGGGGUAGCAAACCGGAUUAGAUACCCGGGUAGUCCCAGCUGUAAACGAUGCGAGCUAGGUGUUGGGAUGGCUACGGGCCAUUUCAGUGCCGCAGGGAAGCCAUUAAGCUCGCCGCCUGGGGAGUACGGCCGCAAGGCUGAAACUUAAAGGAAUUGGCGGGGGAGCACCACAAGGGGUGAAGGCUGCGGUUU